Molecule: ribosomal RNA, 205 nt
Filed under: Clostridioides difficile
Lineage: Bacteria; Bacillati; Bacillota; Clostridia; Peptostreptococcales; Peptostreptococcaceae
Description: partial 23S ribosomal RNA
Rfam family: Bacterial large subunit ribosomal RNA
Source: RNAcentral
GCGUUGAAAAGCUCGGGGAUGACUUGUGGGUAGCGGUGAAAUUCCAAUCGAGCCCGGAGAUAGCUGGUUCUCCCCGAAAUAGCUUUAGGGCUAGCCUCAAGGUGAGAGAUACGGAGGUAGAGCACUGAAUGUCCUAGGGGGUAUUGCACCUACCGAAGACUAUCAAACUCCGAAUGCCGUCAUCUUAUACUUGGGAGUCAGACUG